This 513-nucleotide ribosomal RNA is filed under the name uncultured bacterium. RNAcentral's name for it is "partial 16S ribosomal RNA". It matches the Rfam family "Bacterial small subunit ribosomal RNA", at positions 28 to 523 of the family's 1533-position model. The record is from RNAcentral.
GACGAACGCUGGCGGCAUGCCUAAUACAUGCAAGUCGAGCGAACGGAUGAAGUGCUUGCACUUCUGACGUUAGCGGCGAACAGGUGAGUAACACGUAAGGAAUCUACCUAUAAGCGGGGGAUAACAUUCGGAAACGGGUGCUAAUACCGCAUAAUAUCUUCUUCCGCAUGGAAGAAGAUUGAAAGACGGCUCUGCUGUCACUUAUAGAUGACCUUGCGGUGCAUUAGUUAGUUGGUGGGGUAAUGGCCUACCAAGACGAUGAUGCAUAGCCGACCUGAGAGGGUGAUCGGCCACAUUGGGACUGAGAACCGGCCCAAACUCCUACGGGAGUCAGCAGUAGGGAAUCUUCCGCAAUGGGCGAAAGCCUGACGGAGCAAUGCCGCGUGAGUGAAGAAGGCCUUCGGGUCGUAAAACUCUGUUAUAAGAGAAGAACAAAUUGUAGAGUAACUGCUACAGUCUUGACGGUAUCUUAUCAGAAAGCCACGGCUAACUACGUGCCAGCCGCCGCCGUAA